CCUACGGGUGGCAGCAGUGAGGAAUAUUGGUCAAUGGGCGGAAGCCUGAACCAGCCAAGUAGCGUGAAGGAUGACGGCCCUACGGGUUGUAAACUGCUUUUAUAGGGGAAUAACGCGCCUUACGUGUAGGGCUUUGCAUGUACCCUAUGAAUAAGGACCGGCUAAUUCCGUGCCAGCAGCCGCGGUAAUACGGAAGGUCCGGGCGUUAUCCGGAUUUACUGGGUUUAAAGGGGGCGUAGGCCGCAUGUCAAGGGUGCAGGGAAAUGUCCGGGCUCAACCCGGGCCUUGCAGCGGAAACUGGCGUGCUUGAGUCAGCGGAAAGCAGGCGGAAUUCGUCGUGUAGCGGUGAAAUGCUUAGAUAUGACGAAGAACCCCGAUUGCGAAGGCAGCUUGCUGCAGCGGAACUGACGCUGAUGCUCGAAAGCGCGGGUAUCGAACAGGAUUAGAUACCCGUGUAGUC
RNAcentral lists this ribosomal RNA (460 nucleotides) under uncultured bacterium. RNAcentral describes it as "partial 16S ribosomal RNA". It matches the Rfam family "Bacterial small subunit ribosomal RNA", at positions 338 to 795 of the family's 1533-position model. The record is from RNAcentral.